Molecule: ribosomal RNA, 257 nt
Filed under: uncultured bacterium
Lineage: Bacteria
Description: partial small subunit ribosomal RNA
Rfam family: Bacterial small subunit ribosomal RNA
Source: RNAcentral
AGGACGAAACGCUGGCGGCGUGCUUAACACAUGCAAGUCGAGCGGAAAGGCCCUUCGGGGUACUCGAGCGGCGAACGGGUGAGUAACACGUGGGCAACCUGCCCCUAGCUCUGGGAUAACUCCGGGAAACCGGUGCUAAUACCGGAUACGACCUCAUUAGGCAUCCUUUGAGGUGGAAAGAUUUAUUGGCUAGGGAUGGGCCCGCGGCCUAUCAGCUUGUUGGUGGGGUAAUGGCCUACCAAGGCGACGACGGGUAG